This 283-nucleotide long non-coding RNA is filed under the name Salvia miltiorrhiza (redroot sage). RNAcentral's name for it is "long non-coding RNA (SMIL_LNC000283)". The record is from RNAcentral. Lineage: Eukaryota; Viridiplantae; Streptophyta; Magnoliopsida; Lamiales; Lamiaceae.
UGGAAUUGAAAUUACUUAAAUGAAAAUGGAAGUACCUACGGCCGAAAGUGCCGUGAAAAACAUAAACAGUAAAGUAUGAGAAAAUGCCCACAGCCUGGGCUAGCUUCAACUCUCAAACAAUGCACAACAGGACGGAAUUUCAGCACCCUUGGCUUGUGAAGCUCUUCGGGUAUUUAUAGGAGUAACUAGGGUUCGAAGGCCCAGCCCAUGACUUGCGGCCGGAUCCAUGCAAGCAUGGAGAUGCGUAUCCUUUUUCAGACCUAAUCUUCAUGAAGAUAUGUUU